This 386-nucleotide ribosomal RNA is filed under the name uncultured eukaryote. RNAcentral's name for it is "SSU rRNA". It matches the Rfam family "Eukaryotic small subunit ribosomal RNA", at positions 587 to 972 of the family's 1831-position model. The record is from RNAcentral.
AGCUCCAAUAGCGUAUAUUAAAGUUGUUGCGGUUAAAACGCUCGUAGUUGAAUUUUAGUAACGGUUGACGGGUCGCGUCGUAAGACGUGCACUCUAUGCCGUUACUCAUUUCUUCUGGGGAUCCAUUUCUGUUCUUUAUUGAGUGGGGAUGGGGAUCCAGGACGUUUACUUUGAAAAAAUUAGAGUGUUUAAAGCAUGCCCUUUGUGCAUGAAUAUGUCAGCAUGGAAUAAUAGAAUAGGACUUUGGUCUUAUUUUGUUGGUUUAAGAGACCAGAGUAAUGAUUAAAAGAAACAGAUGGGGGCACUGGUAUUUCAUUGUCAGAGGUGAAAUUCUUGGAUUUAUGAAAGACCAACUUCUGCGAAAGCAUUUGUCCAGGAUGUUUUCA